This 253-nucleotide unclassified non-coding RNA is filed under the name uncultured bacterium. RNAcentral's name for it is "partial 16S ribosomal RNA". It matches the Rfam family "Bacterial small subunit ribosomal RNA", at positions 524 to 776 of the family's 1533-position model. RNAcentral also lists the same sequence under 1 other name. The record is from RNAcentral.
AACGUAGGACACAAGCGUUAUCCGGAAUUACUGGGCGUAAAGCGCGCGCAGGCGGGUCAGCAAGUCAUGCGUGAAAGCUCCUGGCUAAACUGGGAGAGGUCGGAUGAUACUGUUGGUCUGGAGGGCGUCAGAGGAGUGUGGAAUUCCGCGUGUAGUGGUGAAAUGCGUAGAGAUGCGGAGGAACACCAGUGGCGAAGGCGGCACUCUGGGGCGCACCUGACGCUGAGGCGCGAAAGCAUGGGUAGCGAACGGG